UACGAACUGUGCAAACGUUAUUCGGAAUCACUGGGCUUAAAGGGUGCGUAGGCGGUCAUUUAAGUCGGGUGUGAAAGCCCCCGGCUCAACCGGGGAACUGCGUCCUAAACUGGGUGACUGGAGUGAGAUAGAGGUGUGUGGAACUUCCAGUGGAGCGGUGAAAUGUGUUGAUAUUGGAAGGAACGCCGGUGGCGAAAGCGACACACUGGGUCUCAACUGACGCUGAGGCACGAAAGCCAGGGGAGCGAACGGG
This 253-nucleotide ribosomal RNA is filed under the name uncultured bacterium. Its description in RNAcentral is "partial 16S ribosomal RNA". It matches the Rfam family "Bacterial small subunit ribosomal RNA", at positions 524 to 776 of the family's 1533-position model. The record is from RNAcentral.